RNAcentral lists this small RNA (27 nucleotides) under Bombyx mori (domestic silkworm). RNAcentral describes it as "ovarian small RNA-35088". The record is from RNAcentral. Lineage: Eukaryota; Metazoa; Arthropoda; Insecta; Lepidoptera; Bombycidae.
UGGUACGUGGUAAAAAAGAUCGCUGGA